GCGACCGAGAGGUCGCUCCCCUCAAAUGCAUCGGUUGGGCCUGUGGGUUCGAACUCGAUUGGGCGUUGUACCAUCCUCGCUCUCUACAACGAGUUCGUCCCGCUGCUUGUGCCCCUCCACGACCGCCUGCGGAGUGGCGGUCAAAUGCAAACUUUUUGAAAUCUGACCUCAAAUCAGGUAGGACUACCCGCUGAACUUAA
RNAcentral lists this unclassified non-coding RNA (200 nucleotides) under soil metagenome. Its description in RNAcentral is "partial contains internal transcribed spacer 2 and large subunit ribosomal RNA". The record is from RNAcentral.